AAUCAUUAUAUUUGUUUCUUGUUAUCAAUAAAUACAUGUUAAACACCAAUAAAAAUCAUACAAUUAAAAGCAAAAUAAUCAUAAUGUUAAUCUUGUUAAAAAUGUAUAUGACACAAUCAACAUAAUCUAUCAAUAAUCAAAUAAUUACACACAAGUAUCUAAAAAGUUGAGGAUGGACCUAAUCUUUCUGGUUGUAUUUUCUUACGGACUGAAACAUAUAUCUUUAUAGAUUCAAUUAUCAUAUGUAUAUGCAAAAUAAAGAUAAUUGUAAAUUUAUA
This is a long non-coding RNA of Osmia bicornis bicornis, 278 nucleotides long. RefSeq lists it as uncharacterized. The transcript is spliced from 2 exons. NCBI's taxonomy places the organism in Eukaryota, Metazoa, Arthropoda, Insecta, Hymenoptera, Megachilidae. The record is from RefSeq and is a predicted model, not a curated record.